UUUACCUGUGUGACUGCGUACCUUUUGUAUAAUGGGUCAGCGACUUAUAUUCUGUAGCAAGGUUAACCGUAUAGGGGAGCCGGAGGGAAACCGAGUCUUAAUUGGGCGUUAAGUUGCAGGGUAUAGACCCGAAACCCGGUGAUCUAGCCAUGGGCAGGUUGAAGGUUGGGUAACACUAACUGGAGGACCGAACCGACUAAUGUUGAAAAAUUAGCGGAUGACCUGUGGCUGGGGGUGAAAGGCCAAUCAAACCGGGAGAUAGCUGGUUCUCCCCGAAAGCUAUUUAGGUAGCGCCUCGUGAAUUCAUCUCCGGGGGUAGAGCACUGUUUCGGCUAGGGGGCCAUCCCGGCUUACCAACCCGAUGCAAACUGCGAAUACCGGAGAAUGUUAUCACGGGAGACACACGGCGGGUGCUAACGUCCGUCGUGAAGAGGGAAACAACCCAGACCGCCAGCUAAGGUCCCAAAGUCAUGGUUAAGUGGGAAACGAUGUGGGAAGGCCCAGACAGCCAGGAUGUUGGCUUAGAAGCAGCCAUCAUUUAAAGAAAGCGUAAUAGCUCACUGGUCGAGUCGGCCUGCGCGGAAGAUGUAACGGGGCUAAACCAUGCACCGAAGCUGCGGCAGCGAACGUAUCACUUAAAGCGAUUCAGCGGGUUACGAUUGACGGAGCGAAGCGACGUCAAAGCGUAUACAAAGUCGAGUCGGUUUAAGGAUACGUUCGUUGGGUAGGGGAGCGUUCUGUAAGCCUGUGAAGGUGUGUCGUGAGGCAUGCUGGAGGUAUCAGAAGUGCGAAUGCUGACAUAAGUAACGAUAAAGCGGGUGAAAAGCCCGCUCGCCGGAAGACCAAGGGUUCCUGUCCAACGUUAAUCGGGGCAGGGUGAGUCGACCCCUAAGGCGAGGCCGAAAGGCGUAGUCGAUGGGAAACGGGUUAAUAUUCCCGUACUUGGUGUUACUGCGAAGGGGGGACGGAGAAGGCUAUGUUGGCCGGGCGACGGUU
This 996-nucleotide ribosomal RNA is filed under the name Salmonella enterica subsp. enterica serovar Infantis. RNAcentral describes it as "partial 23S ribosomal RNA". It matches the Rfam family "Bacterial large subunit ribosomal RNA", at positions 584 to 1503 of the family's 2925-position model. The record is from RNAcentral. Lineage: Bacteria; Pseudomonadati; Pseudomonadota; Gammaproteobacteria; Enterobacterales; Enterobacteriaceae.